CAAGAAACAGACUAAGUUUCUAGAAGUGGUAACACAUUAUAUCUUGGUUGAACCAAUUACUGCUAAAGAGGAGAGGCAAGCAUGGAGAGGCCCAUAAUUGGGGAAGAAGGUCAGUCAUUGGAAUCAACCCUGUUUCAUGACUUUUUUCCACGUCUCUUCACCAUUACUUUUAUAAGGUUGGCUGGAAAUGAGACAGAAGAGCUUUUUCACUGGGAUAGUCUGUGCAAUACAAUACCAUGACCACAGACUACCUAAAGCAUCACCCACACUUUGAAAAACAGAGACUUAAUGGGAGAACGUGAACUCAGAAUGCAGACUGCUACUUUACAGCUCUUUGACUUUGAGCAAGAGACUCUUUUUGGUCUUCAGUCCCCUUUCUUACAGUGGGGAAAAUAAGAACUUUAUAACUGUUUGAGUGCCUGUGUCAGAAAAGAGUAAAUGAUAUAAAUUUAUGUAAGCACCAAAUCCAGUGGUUGGAACAUACCCUCUUUCCCUGAAAAUAUGACCUAGCUAGAAAAUAACCAGCCUUGAAAACAGGAGAUCAAAAAUGCCAGCCCCCCCCCCAAAAAAAAAGAAAAGAAAAAGGGCUGGGGAUUUAGCUCAGUGGUGCCACGCCUGCCUGGCAAGCACAAGGUCCCGAGUUAGAUCCCCACUACUGGGGGAAAAAAAAUGCCAGGCCCAAUCAGCCUUAUCCUUGCCUUACCUGCCCGCUCCGGUCCCACCCCAAGAAAUAGGAUGCAGCUCUGAGAAAGGAAGAAAAUUAGAUUGCCAGCUAUCCUAAUGAGUCCCAAAGGCACCUCAAACUCAACAUGCUUCAAACCCAAAAUAUCAAUGACCUCCAAACCUGAUCCUCAGCCACCUUCCCUAUUGCAAUGAACAGCAUCAUCAUCUAUCCCGUGAAGCAAGCCAGAAACCUCACAGACAUCUUGAAACCUUCUCUGCCCCUGAACUUCAUGUGCAUGGAGUCUGCUCAAAUUUUACCUUUGAAGAAUCUCACCGUCAUCACCCUGGUCAUCAUCAUAAGUGUACCAGUGCACAGGUUUGGAAAUGGGUUCUGGAGUCAAGACUACUUGGUUUACAAUAUUAAUACCGUAUUUUUUCUUUUUUCUUUAUAGUGCUGGGGAUUGAAGCCAAGUCUCACACGUGCCAGGCAAUGCUCUACCUCUGAUCCACACCCUUGACUCCUAAAUCUAAAAAUUUAUUAACUGUAUAACCUUGGGCAAGGUACAUAACCAUUCUGUGCCUUAGUUUUCUCCUUUGUACUGUGUAGUAGCAUUGAGUACCUAUCCACAUCCUGCCUUUGGGAUAGUUUAAAGGUAGAAAGUGCUUAAAAGUACCUUGUAUAUAAUAAACGCUCAAUAGAGGUUAGUUGCUCUUUUUGUUAUUGUCACUUCAGUAUAGAAAUGUUCAAACAUAUGGCUCCAAUCGAAAGAUUUUUUUCAUUCCCUGUGUGUUGAUAGGUAAAUCUAAAGACUUAAUCAGAU
RNAcentral lists this long non-coding RNA (1484 nucleotides) under Heterocephalus glaber (naked mole-rat). RNAcentral describes it as "lncRNA (ENSHGLG00000036658.1)". Lineage: Eukaryota; Metazoa; Chordata; Mammalia; Rodentia; Bathyergidae. The record is from RNAcentral.